GGCUGGUGGUGGUCGACGUGGCCUUCUACACGGAGAACAUCCAGGCGCUGAAGAGCCUCGAGCGACUCGACCUGAACAUGGCUGAGAUCUGGGAGCAGAAGAGGUGAUGUAGGACGGAGUCUGGACGUCAUGGACUGACCGACCCGGCGACGGGGGCCGACCUCAGGGGCCGAUGGCGGCCGGCUGACAGUGGAGGAGGCCCAGAGGGACCAAAACUACAAAACUGGGAGAAGAGCAGCAGCAGCAUGCCAGAACUCCAACAGCUUCAACGACUUGAUAAAGUUCCACACAGAGCCUCCUAAAAACUGCUGCCACCUCAUCUCACUGUGUGCAAUCGGACAGAAAUACUAGUAAAUUAUUAGACAGUUUUAUUGCAGCACACUGCAGGGUGUGGAAGAUGUUGAAGACAUGGAGGGGUAAUUUAUUUUUCUGACUUCUGGAGAAACAUUCUAUACUGUGGCAGACUUUUCUUUUUCCUUGGGCCCGGGAUGUUGAGGCUGAAAGGAUUUUUAUCGCCAACACUGAAAAUGAGCUUUUAUGUCACUGAUUUUGUGGACUUCAGGGAAACUUCACAGCUGAAGAUAGAAAGUUCAGGGGAUAAAAUGAUUCAGUCUGAAAAGAUGAUUUUCCUCUUCACUGCUCCAAACAAAUCUACAGGGUUCCUGUUUCCCAAAUCACUCUGAUCAGCUGCACACAACACGGACAUUUUUAUACUCAGAACAAGGAUUUUUUUCCAGACUUGUUGUGUUGAACCCUGGAGGAGGAUGAACCCUGGAGGAGGAGGAACCCUGGAGGAGCAGCAGCUGGGAGAAAUGUCUCACUGAAGAGUUGAAUUCCUGUAAAAUUUGAAAUAAACCAAUCAGCUCUCAGCUACAUCCUGAUGUUGCCAAAGUGAAGUGGUUUCUAAUCUAGGAAUUCAACUCUUCUGAUCCAUUUCCCUCCUCAACAGUCAAUCAUGCUUCAGGUCUCCUUCAGGCUCAGUCUUUGUGAUGAAUCAGAAGAUAAUUUUAAUAUCAGUGAAGAGAGUUUGCAGAAUGUGAAGCAUGAAUAUCAGCUGUUGUUCCUUCUGCUGUGGUUUGAUUUCAUGUGCAUGAGCUUUUAGUUUCGUCCGAGGCUGAAACAACAGAACAGAACAGAAAAUCUGAUUUAUUUUUACUUCAUUAAUGUCUAAAUGGAAUAAUCCCAGGACAUGUGAAGAAAAAGCUGCAAGGAUCAAACAUCCAAACUGGUCAAAUUGGUUUUAAAACAGGCUUUUCAAAGACAGACACGGAUAAAACGGAGUGUUGCAGUUCAGUUGUCUUCAGAUUAGACAGUAUUCUAACACUUAUGAGCUUGUGAUUGGCAUUCUAACUUUAUAAAUUUGCACAAAAUUAAGUUUUUGAAUCCACUUUCCUUCUACAGUGUUGUGCUGUUUCCACUGAGGUGCAGGACUUUAUAUUGACACCGUUAAACUGUUUGGAGUUCAGAGAGUUAACCUGCAUCCCUUCCUCUUUCUCUACUGAUUGGGACUCGUUCACAGCUCUCCUCCUGUUCUCCACACUGCAGGUUUCUUCAAACAUUAGAUUUUCUCUUCCGACCUGAAGUUCAGCCGCUCUGAGCUCCGACCAGACAAAAAGAAAAAAACAGAUGCGUUCACGUCCGUCUCUGCUCCAGUGUGAGCACUACAGGCUGGAGGUGGUUCUGUUCCAACAUCUGACUUCCACCAGACAGCUGCUCUCCUGGUUUGUGUUUUUAUAUUACAGAGAUUUUAACCAGAGAAUAGCUGCUUGUUUUUUCAGAUGUUGUUAUGGAAAAGUGCUAAAUCAUCCCUAAUUAGUAUCCCGACAUAACGGAUAAAUCAAAUGACCGCGGCCAGAGACGCAGGUUGAAGUGAGUAAAGUGAGUGGAGGUGUGACGUGACGCAGCUGAACAAAACCAUGAAUGAUCAUCACUGUCUGCUUCAGAAGUGCCUACUGUUGAUCGACUGUCAGACGACACAUCUGAGCUCUACAGUGUGCCUACCUACCACUGUGUGAGUGUGUGAGAGAGAGAGGGAGUGUGAAUGAGUUUGGGUGAGCUGGGCAGUGUGUGUGUGUGUCUCCAAAAUAUGUUGAAUCCUUAAAACCUGCUGUGAAUAAAACAGGAUGACGGAGCGACUCGUCUGUUUGUCGGCUGCUGGGUAAGCAAAUCGAGCGCACCGUCUCUACAACCUGCAAUAAUCUGUGUACGGGGCUCCGCACCCUACGUGAUGUUCCUAAAAGGUCAACUAUGGAUACUCGGCUGUGAGAAUUUUUGAUGGAGCGAAACUUGAAGAUGAGAAUAUGCACAAUGAGGGACGUCUGCAGAGACUGAGAAAGAGUCUCACCACAUCCUGACAUGAGGAAAAAGACUUUAUUGAAGACUACAAUGAGAAAAACUAUCAGACAGCAGACGGCUGCAUUCAAGAGAAGAAGACCAUCAAACAUCCACAUCAGCUGAUGGAGGUCCAAGAGUCUCACCAAACAACCAACCUACAGAGUGAAGACCUCGAAUCUGAUUGGACGGCCUCCUAUUCAGCCACAUGUGUGAACAAAUGCCUCUAAGUUGAUUUGUUUUCUAAAAUAAAUCUAGUUUGAGUCCUAAUCUAUGCCUGUGUGUUUGCUUCUUUACACCGCUGUUAACAGUUUAGGCUGUUAGAUUGUUCCAGAUAAGACAAGUACAAGAUCCUGCAGAGCCGUUCUACCACGAGCCUGACAGGAAGAACUCCAACAGCUACUGAAUGUUCCUGUGGUUCCCUCAAGGCUACAGGAGGAGCCCUACGAGGACGAGCCGGUCCACCUGAUGGAGGCCAGUCGCUGCGGUUCAAAGCCAACACCGACUACGUGGACUUCUACUGGACCACAUGGAGGCCUUCAAACCGGACCAACAAGUUCAGCGACUCCCCGACUCGUGGGUCUGAGGAUGCCGCCGAGCCUCGGUCCAGCCGGCCUCCUGUCUGUGGGUGUUUGAGUGCUGAGAGGUUUGUGGAUGCAUGUGAACGUUCUGUGUUGAAACAGCAGCUUUGGACUCAGUAACGCCGGGAAAAACCAAGAGCUCCUUUAUUUGUGACUUCCACUAAAAAACUGAUGAAAAUAAGUUUGUCAGGGUUCUGACUGAUAACAGAUUAUUAAAUAAUGAAAAUAAUCAUUUAAAUAUUCCUUUAAACAAUCCUUUUAGGUCUACAUUUCCUUUACACUGACUUCUUGGUAUAUGUACAAGUAUUUUGGGUGGAAUAUACCAUUAAGCCCAAUGUUCAAGGGUUCUUCUGGGAAUAUACCAUUAAACCAACCUUUUAGGUAAAUGUUCCAAGAUGUUGGGUAGAAUAUACCAUCAGAUCAACCUUUUAGGUCUACACUGGAAGAUUUUAGAGUAGAAUAUUACUCCAAACCAUCCUUUAGCUCUACAUUUAAGGUGGAAUACUCCUUUACACCAAGAUUUUUUGGUCUACAUUGAAGGAUUUUGGAUGGAAUAUUCCUUUGAACGAACUUUUUAGGUUUAUGUUCAAGGAUGUUGGGUGGAAUAUACCAUCAGAUCAACCUCCAAGGUCUACAGUAGUGAAUUUUAGGUGGAAUAUACCAUUAAACUCACCUUUUAGGUCUACAUUUUAGGAUUUUAGGUGGAAUUUUCUUCCAAACCGUCUUUUAGUCUACAUUUAAGGAUGUUUAGGAUGGUAUAUUCUUCCGAACCAAUUUCUCAGGUCUACGUUUCAGGUGGAAUAUUCCUCCAUACUAACUUUUUGGUCUACAUUGAAGGAUCUUUUCUAAACCACUCUUUCGGGUCUAUAUUUGAGGUUUUAGGUGGAAUAUUCCUUUUAACCAGCCCCUCAGGUCUCUGAGGAUUUUGGAUGGAAUACUCGGUUAAACCAACAUUUUGGAUACAUGUCCAAGGAUUUUUGGUGGAAUGUUCCUUUAAGGUGGAUGUUUGAGGACCUUGUAGGUGGAAAACUUCCUGAAACCAACCUUUUAGGUCAACAUUCAAAGAUUUAAGGUGGAGUAUUCCUUUAAACCAACCUAAAUUUCAUGUUUUGAUCAUUAUCAAGUGAGAAACCUCAAUCCAGACUCCUCAUAAUGACGUUUGAGAUUUAUGCUGCUGUUAUUUGUUUAGUCCAGACUAAAUGACAGAAAUCCACAACUGUAAUUUUAUUUCAGGACUCGGUUAUUAAAUGUCAAAACAAUCCAUGUGACUCUAAAAACUCAACAGCUUUACAAACUCUAAGAUUAAACUCUCCACAAGGAUCCAAAAUAAGCUGGACUUCUACAUGAGAGCUUUAAUUAUUCUUCAUCUACUUCCUGAAAAGUUUGGUCAAUAAAAAAGACAAAAACUAGUAUUUUCAGCUGAACUAAAGACAGACUUUGUGAUUUUUCUGCUCACAUGUUGUGUUGUUGUAAACUUCCUCUUUCAAAUAAAUACCCACCUAACCCCCUGGAAACCAGCAUUUGUCCUGUUUUUGUGUUGCUCCUCAGUGACCCUAGACAGCCGGGUCGUAAUGUAUUUUGAGCAACACACCAUACUAUGACGUUUUUACAAUGAUGGUUCUGCUAUGGAACCAGUUUGACAUGUUCAGGCGUUCUUUGUGUGAAAACUCGGAGAUUUCAGGUAUCAGAAGGUGGUUUUCAACUUUCUUUGUUAACUUUCUGCCUCAACUUUAAACUAAAUUUCCUUCACUAACCCAGCCCUCUGGACUUCCAGUAAGCUGUGUUCCUAUUGGCUGUCCCAGUGGCUGCUAGGUAUUAUCAGGAACACCUGAGCAGCUCAGUGUCUUCCUGCUUUAUUUAGCUGCAGACAAACAUUUCCUCUGCUUCUGUUCACCACUGAACCGGGUUUGGCUCCGUUGCUUUAAUUUGUUCUUUAGGCGUUGGCUUGCAGCUUCCAGCAGUAAAAUUGUCUUUAAUGUGUUUCUUGGUGUGUUUUAGGGCUUUGUACUGGAUAGUUGUCUUGGUAAAUGUGGUUCUUUAGCCACAGUUACCACAUGGUGCUACUGUGUGCAGUGAUUAGUGGAUUUGGUGCAGCUGAGUUGUGUCUUUAUCUUGGCUGUAGUGAGUCUUCAGAGGUUUUUGGUCAGACACAUUCUGUAUUCUUGUUUGAGAACCAUCGUUGGUUGUCCAGAAGGUAAGAGUUCAUGUCCUGAUUCUCUGUUCUCAGAGGUUCUCUGGUAGGCUGCAGGACACUUUAGCGUUUGGGUUGUGCUAGUUUGGUUUUUGUAUCGGUUUAAUUUGGACGACUGUCUUGAGGCCCCUCCAUGUGGUUUAGUGAGGUUUUCUGCAACAGUUCUACAAAGCAGCCUGCAGCAGAAGAGACUUUGAGA
Amphiprion ocellaris (clown anemonefish) is the source of this 5302-nucleotide long non-coding RNA. Lineage: Eukaryota; Metazoa; Chordata; Actinopteri; Pomacentridae. The record is from Ensembl.